This is a long non-coding RNA of Gopherus evgoodei (Goodes thornscrub tortoise), 5326 nucleotides long. RefSeq lists it as uncharacterized. The record is from RefSeq and is a predicted model, not a curated record. The transcript has 2 exons. NCBI's taxonomy places the organism in Eukaryota, Metazoa, Chordata, Testudines, Testudinidae.
UCCUGACUUAACCGACUGGCUGCUGUGACUAGAGGGCGGCUGGGCUUACCCGUGGCUGCUGGUGCCGGGACCGGCUGCUCCCCGCAGAGGAGGAUGCUGGUGCUCAACAAGCUGGUCCUGGCCAUGCUCGGUCAGCGAUUCAGCAGCCAAGCCCACCCCAUUCACCCUGGCCCACCUCUGGAAGGAUUUUUCUGCAUGGAGCUACACUGAGUCUCUGCAGGUGUCCUGAGCCUCCCCUGUGGGGAAAGCAGCCAGGGCUGGGUCUGCAUCCACAGCCAGGUCUACCUUCCACCUUCAGACUCCGAACAGUCUUCUCUGCAGUGCAGGUAGAGUGUGCAGACACAUGCCUUCCUCCACUGCCUCAGAGACCAGCAGCUCUGCUAUCUCCACCUGAGACAUCUUCCCUGAGAUCUUCUUGACUGAGACCUCCUCAGGAGCUGGAAGCUAGUGUCAGCACCUAGGACCAUAGCAACUGUAGAGGGGGAGGAUCUCCAUGCCAAACCUCUGCUACACAACCCCCAUCUACGUGUGCAAGUGACACAGUUACCCUUGGUGUGCCAGAGGUUGGUCCUGACUGGCACCCCCAGACUGUGACCUUCUGAACUACGCUCAGAGCGGCUGGGUGGACCCUGCAGCAGUUGGCCAGUGCAUGGGGUUCUCCACCACAUGCAUCCAUCAUGUGACCCAGAAGGCAAGGGCAGACUUGACUCAUGCUUCUCUUGCUUUCCUCAAACAAGCAUUGCAGGAGGGUGCUUUCCACCCACCCCUCACCCUCUGAAACAUGCCAUCAGGCCCAUGCCCCAUAAGGCCCCCAGCACACCAUAUGAGCUGGCUGCACAAUAUGCAGCCGUUCUACCUCCAAACCAGGCCCAGAAAGCAUCUGUGCAUGCUCAUGCUUCACAUCAUCCAUUUCCUUGCCUUCAUGUCCUGCCCUGACACCAGGUUCUGCCAUGUAUAGAUAGUGAGGAACCUAGCAGACCAGCCUGUAUUCCACAGCUCACUGAGGAUAUUUGUUGGUGGCUCCUCCACAGAGCUAUGAGCAUGGGCAUGUAACCUGGCACAGUCCAUGAAGUCGUCUGACUCCUGUCCUUUUUGUGAUGAGAGGUAGAUCCUGGCGCAUAUCUGUGUAGAAUGCAUUAGGUUACAGCCCUUCUUCUGGCUCCUUCAAAACCUUUUACUGGGAUCCUUGCUGCACUUCUCCCCACAUCUCCUGAUCUACACCCACCUGGUCCAUGGCCCCACAAAGUCACGGGAGCACCUCAUCAACUUCCUCCUGGUGCUGGCCAAGAUGCCAUCCAUCAUACUCAGAGAAGGAAGCUGGAUGGGGGAGUGGCUGGUGACUGUAGGGUUUAUUUCCAUUCCCUUGUUGGGUCAGGUCUCCAAGCAGUUUCUGUAGGUGGUGUCCAUGUACACCUUAAAUGCCUUUGAGGAGCAGUGGGUGUUGUCAGGGGGAUCUCUGCUUAGUGUCCUCCUCUAGAUCCCUUUAUUUUUUAUCUUUGACCUCCCCUCCAUUAGUCAGGGUGUCUCCCUCCCCAUUUGUUGUUCCCAGAAAUAAUUUGUGGUCUAGUUUAAGGGGUAGGCCUAGGCCUACCUGCCCGAGUACUACAAAUAGUACUAGCGCUUCAACCCACCAAUGACUAGAUAUUUAGCUAACGAUUAAAGCACCAUUUAACUUCAGCUGGAGAUUUGUGGUUGCGGACCGGAGUCAGAUGAAGGGCAACACUUGAGCUGUACCUGGAAUAAAACACUGCAAUGAAGACAAGUUGUAGAACCUCUCUGAAGUGAGGAAACCUCCCUUCCAUGCUAGUGAGAGCUGGUGGAGUUUGGGGUUGGGCUAGGAUUGUUUUUCUUUUGAAGAGUGAUCUCACCGUAGAGUGAACUAACUUUUAUCUCGGGGCACACACAGAAAUGGCCCUAGAACAUCAGCAGGAAGUGGGCUGAGCAGGGGCAUCAGUUUCUGAGAAUUUAAACUGUCACUCAAAAAAACCCUCUGAAUGUGAACCAUACAGUGUGUCUUCCUGAGUCAGAAGAUUGACUCAAAUUAUAAUUCAUAUAUUUCUUAGAUCUAUUUUCUAUUCAUCUCAGUCACAUGUUGACUCUGGAGCCUACUUCUUGUGUAACUAUUUCAUGUCAUAUAUUAACAGAAACAUCCAGCUAUUCCAGGACUGUGUAUAGAGUUUGUUGAUUUUGGAAAGAGCUCAGUUAGAACAAACACACACUUCCACUCUGUCCAACCCCGCCAAAUUGAUUUCUGGGCAUGGGUUUACACCACAGCAGGAACUAAUGCAGUUUAUUUCUGAUAAGUACAGUAAUGUAGUUACACACAGGGAAAACAAUCCUUCCUGCCCCGCAAGCGGAGCUAUAAAUGGAAAGAUAACUAAAUAGAGGCCAAAGAUCAUUCUCCCUUCUCCCCCAACCCCCAAGGAAAUAUUUGUGUUUUAAAACACUCUCAGACAUGAGACUACUUAUUUUGUCUUUAGCUAGUGGGCGGAAAGAGUUGCGUCAUUGUGAUGCUACUUCCUGACAUUGCAUCAGCCCAUGAUAAGGUCUUGUCCUUGCCUAGUGGUGCAACAUCCUAUUAGGAGCCAAGAGGUCAUGUGCUGGCAUUGCAGGGGAGCCCUAAAUAAACUGAAGACUUGUAGCUGACCUAAGUGGGCAGACCCGUGAAAUCUAGGACUUUUCUUUUGAAGUCCUAAGCAGCCUGCAAUAUUUAUUGAGAAGGAGCUCAGAAUAAUCUCACCUCCCAGAACCUUUUUACAGUUGUGCAGAUUAUUAUAUAUUAGGACAAGGGUUGGUUUUUUGGAAAUGUUGAGUGCACACAGCUCAUAUUGAAGUUAAUGGCACUCUCAGUGUCCCUUCAAAUCAGGCCUUUAAACUCUGCAGUUAAACUAGGUGGGAAGUUAGGGCAAUAUCACUUUUCAAAUAGACAUUAAAGGCCUGAUUCUUCACUGCCUUGCUUAAUUCACCUCCAUGCAGAGGACACCCAACCUGAUAUGGCAACUAUUUACAUGCACUUUGCACAAGAAAAGUUGACUACACAAAGUCCAAGGCUCUGGAGCAUCAGGCCUUAAGUGCAUUUCUUGCUAUUGAUAUUUAGCCCUUACCUCUUCAAAGGGCUGUGCAAACAUUACCUAACCAACAAUUAACCCUCACCAUACUCCAGGAAGUAUUGUCAGUUUACAGAAGGAGACAUUAAGGUUAAGUGACUUUCCCAAUACUACACAGUAAGCCAGUGGAAAGGCAGGAUUAGAACUCACAGCUGCCACUCAGCCAUGCUGUGUCUUUCUCAUCAUAUAGAACAGUAAAGAGUGGAUGGUAAAUUGUCAUGAGAGAAUAUUUCAUUGCUAGAUGAUAAAACUGCCACAUACACACCCAGGGUCUUACUUCAUUUCACCUACCUUAUGUAGAAACUCCACCAGCUGCUACUAGGUCAGGUCUAGAACAGCAUUAAGGGAGAGCUGCCUACUAGUCAGCUCCUUCUCUUUUAUGUGCUGCCUCCUGGCUUCUCCUCUCAUAUACACUGCAGGAGUCAAGCUCUACUCCUGUAGAGUGACAAAGCACAAAGAAAAGAAGGCCAUUACCAGUUAACCAGCAGCAGUAGCUCUUCCUUAAAUUGGAAGAAGGGGCAGGAGCCAUGGUUUGUUGCAUGUCCAACCCCUGCUCAACCGGGGAUAGGCUGAGUACAACAAUACAAGUGUGUUGCAACUGAUUGGUUACACAGACUAGCGUUAAACUAGUGUCAUUCUCAUGUGGGAACACUGUUAAAUCAAUUUGGGUGUGGCUAAAAUUGAUGUAAUUUACUUAAUUUAAGGGCCUUAAAUUAAGGGAUUUAAUUACAUUGAUUUAGUAACUGAUUUAGUUGAAUCUGCAAUUUCUAUGUGUAGACCAACCCUAAAACAAUCAACAGUGAAAAAAUUAGCCAUGUUGGCAUUCACCAUUCCAGCAUCAGGUUUCUGAGUUAACACUCCAUUGUGAUGAAUGAGAUCAGUUCACACUUCUUUCAGACCUAUUGUUAUAUCUGUUCUAAGCAGAGAAACUCAGUAGUGUCUCAUUUCUCUAGCUCCCCCAUUCCCUCUCCACUUCCCUUGGGGUCCAAGAGGAGAAGUGAGGGAAAGAAGAAAAGUGGCUGACACUAGCUAAAUUAUUAACCUCUGAAUGGGGAUUAUAUGAAAAAUACCUUGUUUUCAGGGUCUAUAUUAUUUUUUGGCUAUUGAUUCAAUAUAGCAUUAUUGUAGCUAGAAAUUACUGCAUUUAAAAAAAUGAAAAUUGGUUCUUUGAAGGAAUUCAAGAGUUGGAGGGGUGGGGGGGUUCCAUUUCUUUUGGAAUUUUUUCAACCCAACAAAAUGUUUUGAUAAGCAUAGAAAGUUUUCAUUGUGUGUAUUUCUUGAAAUUAUUUUUCCUCACUUUCCAGUGGGAGAAAUUUUUUUAAAAAAACAAAACUUCCAUGAAACAAAAAUGUGAUUGGAAAUUAAAUGACAUAUUUUGUUUUAGUCAAAAAUUCCAUGAAAAACUUCAGAUAAAAUGAAUUUUUAUCUCAUUCAAACUUUUUCCACAGAAUAUACUUACCUUAUUUGGCCAGUCGAAUUGUGGCCCAUCAACUUUUAUUGAGGAUAUUGCUGUUGUUAUAGAUCAGUAAUGAGGAGGGAGAGGAGAAAAGAGUGUACACAAAGGUGUCAAGUAAAGUGCUUGUUAUUACUUAAUGCAAAUCUAAGUUUAAAUUUGCUCAUGAAGACGGUUUAAUGUGUUUGAUCUGUAUUCCCACCGUUUUUGUGGUUUUGUAUUUAAUUCUACGAUUUAUGUGUACUGAAAAUCCUCUUGUGUGUCAGGAGUCAGACGUGGGAGGUAGGAGGUGGAAAUAUUGUACUUAAAUGCCAAACUCUUCUCACAAUCCCAGAGUAGUUGAGUGUUUCUGCUAAAGUUAUCAUCAGUGGAAUAGUUAACAAAAUUGACAUUUAAAUUCUCCCAACUACAUUUCAGAUUUAACAUCCUAUUGAGAUGAUUGAAGCUGUUCAAACCUUUUAUACCCCCUUUCAGCAAAUAACAGAAUGUGCUUAAAGUUAAAUAUAUGCUUAAGUACUUUCUUGAAUUGAGGCCUAAAAACUGUUGAGUCCUUCUAUCUGCAGACUCAGGGGGGUUGUUUAAACUUUUAUUUUUUUCAACAUAUUUAGUUAAUAUGUAUGACGGUAAGGUCUGAUUGUGAUAAUGAAAAUGGAAUAGUUUGGAAGAGUCUGCAUAGACUCUCAGCUCUCCCUAGAUAUGCCAGAGGUAAUUUUUACCACCCAGUUGUGUUUUCUUGCAAUUAGAAAAUUACAUAAUUUUACACUGA